Molecule: ribosomal RNA, 420 nt
Filed under: uncultured Acinetobacter sp.
Lineage: Bacteria; Pseudomonadati; Pseudomonadota; Gammaproteobacteria; Moraxellales; Moraxellaceae
Description: bacterial SSU rRNA
Rfam family: Bacterial small subunit ribosomal RNA
Source: RNAcentral
UGGGGAAUAUUGGACAAUGGGGGGAACCCUGAUCCAGCCAUGCCGCGUGUGUGAAGAAGGCCUUAUGGUUGUAAAGCACUUUAAGCGAGGAGGAGGCUCUUUUGGUUAAUACCCAAGAUGAGUGGACGUUACUCGCAGAAUAAGCACCGGCUAACUCUGUGCCAGCAGCCGCGGUAAUACAGAGGGUGCGAGCGUUAAUCGGAUUUACUGGGCGUAAAGCGUGCGUAGGCGGCUUUUUAAGUCGGAUGUGAAAUCCCGCAGCUAACUUAGGAAUUUGGCAAUUUGCAUGCAUACAUGGGGAAAGCUAGAGUAUGGGAGAGGAUGGUAGAAUUCCAGGUGUAGCGGUGAAAAUGCGUAGAGAUCUGGAGGAAAUACCGAUGGCGAAAGGCAGCCAUCUGGCCUAAAUACUGACGCUGAGGU